Molecule: unclassified non-coding RNA, 378 nt
Filed under: plant metagenome
Description: partial contains 5.8S ribosomal RNA, internal transcribed spacer 2, and large subunit ribosomal RNA
Rfam family: 5.8S ribosomal RNA (bases 1-105)
Source: RNAcentral
GAAAUGCGAUAAGUAAUGUGAAUUGCAGAAUUCAGUGAAUCAUCGAAUCUUUGAACGCACCUUGCGCUCCUUGGUAUUCCUUGGAGCAUGCCUGUUUGAGUAUCGUGAAAUCUUCAAAGUAAAUCUUUUGUUAACUCAAUUGGUUUCUACUUUGGUAUUGGAGGUCUUUGCAGCUUCACACCUGCUCCUCUUUGUUCAUUAGCUGGAUCUCAGUGUUAUGCUUGGUUCCACUCGGCGUGAUAAGUUAUCUAUCGCUGAGGACACUGUAAAAGGUGGCCAAGGUAAAUGCAGAUGAACCGCUUCUAAUAGUCCAUUGACUUGGACAAUACUUUUAUGAUCCGAUCUCAAAUCAGGUAGGACUACCCGCUGAACUUAAGC